This 496-nucleotide ribosomal RNA is filed under the name uncultured bacterium. RNAcentral's name for it is "partial 16S ribosomal RNA". It matches the Rfam family "Bacterial small subunit ribosomal RNA", at positions 30 to 523 of the family's 1533-position model. The record is from RNAcentral.
AUUGAACGCUGGCGGAAUGCUUUACACAUGCAAGUCGAACGGUAGAGGGGGCAACCCCUCGAGAGUGGCGAACGGGUGAGUAAUAUAACGGAACGUGCCCAGUCGUGGGGGAUAACGUAGCGAAAGUUACGCUAAUACCGCAUACGAGCUAAGGAUGAAAGCGGGGGAUCGCAAGACCUCGCGCGAUUGGAGAGGCCGAUAUCAGAUUAGGUAGUUGGUGGGGUAAAGGCUCACCAAGCCAACGAUCUGUAGCUGGUCUGAGAGGACGACCAGCCACACUGGAACUGAGACACGGUCCAGACUCCUACGGGAGGCAGCAGUGGGGAAUUUUGGACAAUGGACGCAAGUCUGAUCCAGCCAUUCCGCGUGCAGGAUGAAGGCCCUCGGGUUGUAAACUGCUUUUGUACGGAACGAAAAGGUCUCUCUUAAUACGGGGGACUCAUGACGGUACCGUAAGAAUAAGCACCGGCUAACUACGUGCCAGCCGCCGCCGUAA